Molecule: long non-coding RNA, 789 nt
Filed under: Daucus carota (carrot)
Lineage: Eukaryota; Viridiplantae; Streptophyta; Magnoliopsida; Apiales; Apiaceae
Description: long non-coding RNA (DCAR_LNC004736)
Source: RNAcentral
GUUAGGUCCAAAGUAUCGUAGAAGGGGGGGUUGAAUACGAUACUCACUACAAUUUAAAAUUCUUUCGAAUCUUGCGGAUAAACAAAUUGCAGUUCUGUAAUGGGUUUCGUGUUCCGGAUAUUUAUUGGGUCGGUUUCUGAGGAUAUGAAAAUAUUAAACCAACACACAAUAUUUUCCAAGGUAUAUCUGUAUAUUGAUAAAUACCUCGAAUGGUGCUAUAAAUCCAAACCCGAAGGUUGGCUACAAUGGCUACUACUACGUACACUCACAAACCCUAGCUUCUAAAUAUAUAUAUAUUACAAAACUAAGCUAUGAUUUAUUUGUGUGUAGUAGUGUGCAAGGCACAAAGCCAUUCCACCAUAAAGGUGGUGGAGAGUGUUACAAAUGAGAACAAAAUCCAUGGGUAUUUAUAGGCUUUUCAUAAACUAACCAUGGUUAACGAGUUCGUCCUGGACGACUUGAGUUCGUCCUGGACGAAUUGAGUUCGUCCCAAGUGCUUCCAAUGUGUAUGUAUGUAGAAAUCCCAUGCCUUAGAAUAUUUUCAAGCUUUAAGCAUCCAUAGGGCACCAAUGGGGCGCAACUUGGGCGCUAGUGGCGCUAACACCCUCACAGGGCAUCACUAGGGCGCACACAAGGCGCAACUUGGGCGCUAACAGGCGCAACCUCAAGGGGCGCAACUUCAAGGCGCAACAAGGGCGCUUCCCAGGCGCUCUAAGGCGCAACUUCCAGGCGCAACUUCAAGGCGCUUCCCAGGCGCUCUAAGGCGCAACUUCCAGGCGCAACUUCAAG